This is a long non-coding RNA of Strigops habroptila (Kakapo), 526 nucleotides long. RefSeq lists it as uncharacterized. NCBI's taxonomy places the organism in Eukaryota, Metazoa, Chordata, Aves, Psittaciformes, Psittacidae. The transcript is spliced from 3 exons. The record is from RefSeq and is a predicted model, not a curated record.
CCCACCUUGGAUCUGGAUCAAGAGGACAGCAAGAGGAAGGCGAGGUGGCUCAUCCCUUCUGUCACCAUCCUCACCUCAACAGGGUCCUCGCAGCUCAUUCCCACCCAGUGCAGGGCAUGUCCAGCACAGGAGAGGACUGGGACCAGCCACCCUGUGCCACCCAGCCUGGCUCAGCAGCGACUCGGUCCGAGGUCGACCUUGUUCUGUAGGAGUCGAGCCCCAGUCGUCGGAGGUGGCAACGGGGUGGUAGUGCACCAUCAGCUUGUAAACAAGAAGAGCCUGUCAUUAAGCUGCCCACGGUUGAGCAGAGGAGAAGCUCUGCCACCACAGCUGGAACCAAGGCCUCACAUUACUCACGGCAGGACCAGAAAGGCAGCAAUCAGAAGGCUGUGUGCCUUCUGUGGCACAAAGAAGGACGAGACGGGACAUCUUCUGUGGGCAGCACACACGAGCAUGCAUGAGCAAUGGCUGUAGACACCGAGGUUCUCUGUACCCAAGCACAGAGAACACCAUCAGUGUCAGACUG